GCUAAAUAAGAGCGUAUGGGGAAUGCCUAGGCUCUCAGAGGCGAUGAAGGACGUGAUAAGCUGCGAAAAGCUACGGGGAUUGGCACAUACAAACUGAUCCGUAGAUAUCCGAAUGGGGCAACCCAGCAUGUUGAAGACAUGUUAUCCGCAAGGAGGCAAACCCGGAGAACUGAAACAUCUAAGUACCCGGAGGAGAAGAAAACAAAAGUGAUUCCGAUAGUAGCGGCGAGCGAAAUUGGAUUAGCCCAAACCAGUAUUGUUAAGGCAAUGCUGGGGUUGUAGGACCACGAUAUUCGAUGCAUAAUGAAUUAGAACAGUUUGGAAAGACUGACCAAAGAGGGUGAUAGUCCCGUAUAAGUAAAGAUUGUUAAGAUAGUGGUAUCCUGAGUAGUGCGGGGCACGUGAAACCCUGUGUGAAUCAGUCGGGACCAUCCGAUAAGGCUAAAUACUCCUGAGAGACCGAUAGUGAACUAGUACCGUGAGGGAAAGGUGAAA
Molecule: ribosomal RNA, 495 nt
Filed under: Eucampia antarctica
Lineage: Eukaryota; Bacillariophyta; Thalassiosirophyceae; Eucampiales; Eucampiaceae
Description: partial Bacterial large subunit ribosomal RNA
Rfam family: Bacterial large subunit ribosomal RNA
Source: RNAcentral